GACGAACGCUGGCGGCGUGCUUAACACAUGCAAGUCGAACGGAAAGGCCCUGCUUUUGUGGGGUGCUCGAGUGGCGAACGGGUGAGUAACACGUGAGUAACCUGCCCUUGACUUUGGGAUAACUUCAGGAAACUGGGGCUAAUACCGGAUAGGAGCUCCUGCUGCAUGGUGGGGGUUGGAAAGUUUCGGCGGUUGGGGAUGGACUCGCGGGUUAUCAGCUUGUUGGUGGGGUAGUGGCUUACCACGGCUUUGACGGGUAGCCGGCCUGAGAGGGUGACCGGCCACAUUGGGACUGAGAUACGGCCCAGACUCCUACGGGAGGCAGCAGUGGGGAAUAUUGCACAAUGGGCGGAAGCCUGAUGCAGCAACGCCGCGUGCGGGAUGACGGCCUUCGGGUUGUAAACCGCUUUCGCCUGUGACGAAGCGUGAGUGACGGUAAUGGGUAAAGAAGCACCGGCUAACUACGUG
Molecule: ribosomal RNA, 468 nt
Filed under: uncultured bacterium
Lineage: Bacteria
Description: partial 16S ribosomal RNA
Rfam family: Bacterial small subunit ribosomal RNA
Source: RNAcentral